Molecule: long non-coding RNA, 506 nt
Filed under: Homo sapiens (human)
Lineage: Eukaryota; Metazoa; Chordata; Mammalia; Primates; Hominidae
Description: HSALNT0107896
Source: RNAcentral
AAACAGUUGAUAAAACAGUGGCAGGAUUUCAGAAGAUUUACUUCAACUUAAAACAAGUUUUACUGUGGAUGAAAUGCUAUUAAACAGCAGCGCUAUAAGAUAAAUCUUUUGUGAAAGCAAGAGUCAACUGAUGCAUUAGGAAACCAAAAACUAGCAGGACCUGUACUCUGGAAGCAUCUGACUGGAAUGAAGAAUGAGGAGAGAAAGCAAAGAUCAGUUGUUGACAGAUUUACUGAACCAUAAAGAAAGGAAAAGAAGAAAACUGGCUCAUUGUUACAAAUCACUUCCUACUGUGGAUUUGAAGUCUUCUUAUUUUCUGCUUUUCAUCUAAAUUCAGCAUCAUGAUGCUGCAAUACAAUCAAAAGAAAAUGCUGUAAAUAUAAAAAUGUUAAUUUAAAGCUAUACACAUACCAGGUUCAAAGAAGAUGCAAGCCACAUGUCAGUGGGAUUGCCUGGGUUCAUCUGGACAGUCCAGCUCAUACAACAAGCAGGCCGGUGACUCUUUA